ACGGAAGGCAGCAGUGGGGAAUAUUGCACAAUGGGGGCAACCCUGAUGCAGCGACGCCGCGUGGGGGAUGAAGUAUUUCGGAACGUAAAGCCCUAUCAGCAGGGACGAUAAUGACGGUACCUGACUAAGAAGCUCCGGCUAAAUACGUGCCAGCAGCCGCGGUAAUACGUAUGGAGCAAGCGUUAUCCGGAUUUACUGGGUGUAAAGGGAGCGCAGGCGGUUUUGUAAGUUGGGUGUGAAAGCCCGGGGCUCAACCCCGGAACUGCACCCAAAACUGCAGGACUAGAGUGUCGGAGGGGCAAGCGGAAUUCCUAGUGGAGCGGUGAAAUGCGUAGAUAUGAGGAGGAACACCGGUGGCGAAGGCGGCUUGCUGGACGACAACUGACGCUGAUGCUCGAAAGCGUGGGGAGCAAACAGGAUUAGAUACCCUGGUA
RNAcentral lists this ribosomal RNA (434 nucleotides) under uncultured Lachnospiraceae bacterium. RNAcentral's name for it is "partial 16S ribosomal RNA". It matches the Rfam family "Bacterial small subunit ribosomal RNA", at positions 341 to 792 of the family's 1533-position model. Lineage: Bacteria; Bacillati; Bacillota; Clostridia; Lachnospirales; Lachnospiraceae. The record is from RNAcentral.